Molecule: ribosomal RNA, 1303 nt
Filed under: Corynebacterium sp. MG-2011-70
Lineage: Bacteria; Bacillati; Actinomycetota; Actinomycetes; Mycobacteriales; Corynebacteriaceae
Description: partial 16S ribosomal RNA
Rfam family: Bacterial small subunit ribosomal RNA
Source: RNAcentral
UCGAACGGUAAGGCUCCAGCUUGCUGGGGUACACGAGUGGCGAACGGGUGAGUAACACGUGGGUGACCUGCCCUGCACUUCGGGAUAAGCCUGGGAAACUGGGUCUAAUACCGGAUAGGACCGCACCGUGAGGGUGUGGUGGAAAGUUUUUUCGGUGUGGGAUGGGCCCGCGGCCUAUCAGCUUGUUGGUGGGGUAAUGGCCUACCAAGGCGGCGACGGGUAGCCGGCCUGAGAGGGUGGACGGCCACAUUGGGACUGAGACACGGCCCAGACUCCUACGGGAGGCAGCAGUGGGGAAUAUUGCACAAUGGGCGGAAGCCUGAUGCAGCGACGCCGCGUGGGGGAUGACGGCCUUCGGGUUGUAAACUCCUUUCACCAUCGACGAAGGGUUUCUGACGGUAGAUGGAGAAGAAGCACCGGCUAACUACGUGCCAGCAGCCGCGGUAAUACGUAGGGUGCGAGCGUUGUCCGGAAUUACUGGGCGUAAAGAGCUCGUAGGUGGUUUGUCGCGUCGUCUGUGAAAUUCCGGGGCUUAACUCCGGGCGUGCAGGCGAUACGGGCAUAACUUGAGUACUGUAGGGGAGACUGGAAUUCCUGGUGUAGCGGUGAAAUGCGCAGAUAUCAGGAGGAACACCGGUGGCGAAGGCGGGUCUCUGGGCAGUAACUGACGCUGAGGAGCGAAAGCAUGGGGAGCGAACAGGAUUAGAUACCCUGGUAGUCCAUGCCGUAAACGGUGGGCGCUAGGUGUGGGUUUCCUUCCACGGGAUCCGUGCCGUAGCUAACGCAUUAAGCGCCCCGCCUGGGGAGUACGGCCGCAAGGCUAAAACUCAAAGGAAUUGACGGGGGCCCGCACAAGCGGCGGAGCAUGUGGAUUAAUUCGAUGCAACGCGAAGAACCUUACCUGGGCUUGACAUAUACAGGAUCGCGCCAGAGAUGGUGUUUCCCUUGUGGCUUGUAUACAGGUGGUGCAUGGUUGUCGUCAGCUCGUGUCGUGAGAUGUUGGGUUAAGUCCCGCAACGAGCGCAACCCUUGUUUUAUGUUGCCAGCACGUUGUGGUGGGGACUCGUAAGAAACUGCCGGGGUUAACUCGGAGGAAGGUGGGGAUGACGUCAAAUCAUCAUGCCCCUUAUGUCCAGGGCUUCACACAUGCUACAAUGGUCGGUACAGUGGGUUGCCAGUCCGUGAGGGCGAGCUAAUCCCGCAAAGCCGGUCUCAGUUCGGAUCGGGGUCUGCAACUCGACCCCGUGAAGUCGGAGUCGCUAGUAAUCGCAGAUCAGCAACGCUGCGGUGAAUACGUUCCCGG